GUGGGGAAUAUUGGACAAUGGGCGCAAGCCUGAUCCAGCCAUGCCGCGUGAGUGAUGAAGGCCUUAGGGUUGUAAAGCUCUUUCGUCAGGGAAGAUAAUGACGGUACCUGAAGAAGAAGCCCCGGCUAACUUCGUGCCAGCAGCCGCGGUAAUACGAAGGGGGCUAGCGUUGCUCGGAAUCACUGGGCGUAAAGCGCACGUAGGCGGCUUUCUAAGUCAGGGGUGAAAUCCUGGAGCUCAACUCCAGAACUGCCUUUGAUACUGGAGAGCUUGAGUUCGGGAGAGGUGAGUGGAACUGCGAGUGUAGAGGUGAAAUUCGUAGAUAUUCGCAAGAACACCAGUGGCGAAGGCGGCUCACUGGCCCGAUACUGACGCUGUGGUGCGAAAGCGUGGGGAGCAAACAGGAUUAGAAACCCUUGUAGUCC
This 425-nucleotide ribosomal RNA is filed under the name uncultured bacterium. RNAcentral describes it as "partial 16S ribosomal RNA". It matches the Rfam family "Bacterial small subunit ribosomal RNA", at positions 354 to 796 of the family's 1533-position model. The record is from RNAcentral.